AGAGUUUGAUCCUGGCUCAGAGUGAACGCUAGCGGUGCGCCUAACACAUGCAAGUCGAGUGGGUUUAGACCCACGGCGAACGGCUGAGUAACACGUUGGAACCUACCCCAGACUCAGGGAUAACCCCUCGAAAGAGGGAAUAAUACCGGAUGCCCCCGCAAGGGGAAAGCUUUUGCGGUCUGGGAGGGGCCUGCGGCCUAUCAGGUAGUUGGUGGGGUAAUUGCCUACCAAGCCAAUGACGGGUAACUGGUCUGAGAGGACGACCAGUCAGAAUGGGACUGAGACACGGCCCAUACUCCUACGGGAGGCAGCAGUGAGGAAUCUUCCGCAAUGGGCGAAAGCCUGACGGAGCGACACCGCGUGAAGGAUGGAGCCCCUCUGGGGUGUAAACUUCUGUUCUGAGGGAAGAAAUUUUUGACGGUACCUCAGGAGAAAGCACCGGCUAUUCCGUGCCAGCAGCCGCGGUAAGACGGAAGGUGCAAGCGUUACUCGGAAUCACUGGGCGUAAAGCGUCCGCAGCCUUUUAAGUCAGUCUGGCGUAAAAGCACGAAGCUCAACUCCGUGUACGUGCCGGAAACUGCUUAAAUAGAGUCAUUCAUAGGCAACUGGAAUGUCGUGUGUAGGGGUAAAAUCCGUAGAUCCACGAUGGAACGCCAAAAGCGAAAGCAGGUUGCUGAAUGUACUGACGGUCAGGGACGAAAGCGUGGGGAGCGAAGGGGAUUAGAUACCCCCGUAGUCCACGCCCUAAACUAUGCGUGCUCGGUGUGGGAACGUUCAAUCUGUUCCCGUGCCUUAAGCUAACGCGGUAAGCACGCCGCCUGGGGAGUACGGUCGCAAGAUUAAAACUCAAAGGAAUAGACGGGGACCCACACAAGCGGUGGAGCAUGGGGUUUAAUUCGAUAGUAACCGGAGAACCUCACCCAGAUUUGACAUCCCGGGAAUUCUUUAGAAAUAAAGAAGUGCCGUAAGGAACCCGGUGACAGGUGCUGCACGGUCGUCGUCAGCUCGUGCCUUGAGGUGUACUGUUAAGUCAGCGAACGAGCGCAACCCUCAUCCUAUGUUGUAUUUUCAUGGGAGACUGCCGCCUCCAAGGCGGAGGAAGGUGAGGAUGACGUCAGAUCAGCGUGGCCCUUAUGUCUGGGGCAACACCCGUGCUACAAUGGCCGGUACAAAGGGCAGCUAACCCGAGAGGGGGAGCCAAUCCCAUCAAAGCCGGUCCCAGUUCGGAUUGGAGUCUGCAACUCGACUCUAUGAAGUUGGAAUCGCUAGUAACCGUGAAUCAGCUAUGUCACGGUGAAUGAGUUCCUGGGUCUUGUACUCACCGCCCGUCAAGUCAUGAAAGGCAGGGGCACCCGAAGCACCCUUAUCCCGC
Molecule: ribosomal RNA, 1372 nt
Filed under: metagenome
Description: bacterial SSU rRNA
Rfam family: Bacterial small subunit ribosomal RNA
Source: RNAcentral